Small nucleolar RNA from Coffea eugenioides, 107 nucleotides. The record is from RefSeq and is a predicted model, not a curated record. NCBI's taxonomy places the organism in Eukaryota, Viridiplantae, Streptophyta, Magnoliopsida, Gentianales, Rubiaceae.
AUCUGAUACUGAGGGCACUUGAUGCAUAAUUUCUUGAAUCGCUCCCAGUAAUCAUAGAGCGACUCCUCUAGAUGCUGUUUAAUGCCGCAUAUCUCAUUCCUUAGACU